AUUUGAUUAUGUGGACAUUGUAUUUGUAACUCCCCAAAUCUUUUCCAAGCUUCAAAAAAUUCUUCCGUGUGUUUUUGUCUAAAAGUGAAUUUUGUUUCUUAACUC
Molecule: small nucleolar RNA, 105 nt
Filed under: Thalictrum thalictroides
Lineage: Eukaryota; Viridiplantae; Streptophyta; Magnoliopsida; Ranunculales; Ranunculaceae
Description: Plant small nucleolar RNA R71
Rfam family: Plant small nucleolar RNA R71
About the family: R71 is a member of the C/D box family of snoRNAs containing the C (UGAUGA) and D (CUGA) box motifs. Multiple nearly identical copies of this snoRNA have been identified in Arabidopsis, and it is thought to function as a 2'-O-ribose methylation guide for 18S ribosomal RNA.
Source: Rfam by way of RNAcentral